AGAGUUUGAUCAUGGCUCAGAACGAACGCUGGCGGCAGGCCUAACACAUGCAAGUCGAGCGCACCUUCGGGUGAGCGGCGGACGGGUUAGUAACGCGUGGGAACGUGCCCUUCUCUAAGGAAUAGCCACUGGAAACGGUGAGUAAUACCUUAUACGCCCUUCGGGGGAAAGAUUAAUCGGAGAAGGAUCGGCCCGCGUUAGAUUAGAUAGUUGGUGGGGUAACGGCCUACCAAGUCUACGAUCUAUAGCUGGUUUUAGAGGAUGAUCAGCAACACUGGGACUGAGACACGGCCCAGACUCCUACGGGAGGCAGCAGUGGGGAAUCUUGGACAAUGGGCGCAAGCCUGAUCCAGCCAUGCCGCGUGAGUGAUGAAGGCCUUAGGGUCGUAAAGCUCUUUCGCCAGGGAUGAUAAUGACAGUACCUGGUAAAGAAACCCCGGCUAACUCCGUGCCAGCAGCCGCGGUAAUACGGAGGGGGUUAGCGUUGUUCGGAAUUACUGGGCGUAAAGCGUACGUAGGCGGAUUAGUCAGUCAGAGGUGAAAUCCCAGGGCUCAACCCUGGAACUGCCUUUGAUACUGCUAGUCUUGAGUUCGAGAGAGGUGAGUGGAAUUCCGAGUGUAGAGGUGAAAUUCGUAGAUAUUCGGAGGAACACCAGUGGCGAAGGCGGCUC
RNAcentral lists this ribosomal RNA (671 nucleotides) under uncultured Alphaproteobacteria bacterium. RNAcentral's name for it is "bacterial SSU rRNA". It matches the Rfam family "Bacterial small subunit ribosomal RNA", at positions 8 to 727 of the family's 1533-position model. The record is from RNAcentral. Lineage: Bacteria; Pseudomonadati; Pseudomonadota; Alphaproteobacteria.